CGAACGCUGGCGGCGUGCUUAACACAUGCAAGUCGAACGGAAAGGCCUGCUUUCCCUUGUGGAUUGCGGGUGCUCGAGUGGCGAACGGGUGAGUAACACGUGAGUGAUCUGCCCCCAACUUGGGUAUAAGCCUGGGAAACUGGGUCUAAUUCCCGAUAGGACUGCAGGGUGGUGCCUGUGGUGGAAAACGAUUUUCUAGUGGUUGGGGAUGAGCUCGCGGCCUAUCAGCUUGUUGGUGGGGUAAUGGCCUACCAAGGCGGCGACGGGUAGCCGGCCUGAGAGGGUGGACGGCCACAUUGGGACUGAGAGACGGCCCAGACUCCUACGGGAGGCAGCAGUGGGGAAUAUGGCACAAUGGGCGGAAGCCUGAUGCAGCGACGCCGCGUGGGGGAUGACGGCCUUCGGGUUGUAAACUCCUUUCGACCGCGAGGAAGCCACCUGGUUGGAAGGGUGGUGACGGUAGUGGUAGAAGAAGCACCGGCUAACUACGUG
Molecule: ribosomal RNA, 492 nt
Filed under: uncultured bacterium
Lineage: Bacteria
Description: partial 16S ribosomal RNA
Rfam family: Bacterial small subunit ribosomal RNA
Source: RNAcentral